Molecule: long non-coding RNA, 336 nt
Filed under: Pongo abelii (Sumatran orangutan)
Lineage: Eukaryota; Metazoa; Chordata; Mammalia; Primates; Hominidae
Description: lncRNA (ENSPPYG00000031591.1)
Source: RNAcentral
UCGCAGCGGCCCGGCGCGUUCUCAGCCCAGCUCUUUGUCUGCUGCUUUGUGAUGGGCCGCUGGCCUAGAAAUGGCCUCAAAUGGAAGCUGCCACCCGAUCCUGGUGGAGGCUUUGGAGCUAGGCUAGAGAUCAGUACUCCAGGGUUCAGUGCGCACGUGCUGCCCACGCACUAGGGCCGAAGCAAUGCGGGUGCUGGCGACCGACGCAAGGAGGUGACGCGCAGGGGACUUAAGGAGCGAACCGCCGCGGGAGGACGCGCCCAGGUCAGAGGGACUCCCUUUGCGCCCCCCACGCUGGGUCUCGCCCACGCGUGGCCCGGCUGGUCUGCGGAGCAG